GUUAGGAAUAUUGGACAAUGGGCGCAAGCCUGAUCCAGCCAUGCCGCGUGAGUGAUGAAGGCCUUCGGGUUGUAAAGCUCUUUAGUCCACGAAUAUAAUGACUGUAGUGGAAGAAUAAGCCCCGGCUAACUUCGUGCCAGCAGCCGCGGUAAUACGAAGGGGGCGAGCGUUAUUCGGAAUCACUGGGCGUAAAGCGUGCGUAGGCUGUUUUGUAAGUCAGAAGUGAAAGCCCAGGGCUUAACCCUGGAAUUGCUUUUGAAACUACAAGACUCGAAUUCGGGAGAGGAUAGCGGAAUUGUCAGUGUAGCAGUGAAAUGCGUAGAUAUUGACAGGAACACCAGUGGCGCAAGUGGCUAUCUGGACCGAUAUUGACGCUGAGGCACGAAAGCGUGGGGAGCAAACAGGAUUAGAAACCCGGGUAGUCC
This 425-nucleotide ribosomal RNA is filed under the name uncultured bacterium. RNAcentral describes it as "partial 16S ribosomal RNA". It matches the Rfam family "Bacterial small subunit ribosomal RNA", at positions 354 to 796 of the family's 1533-position model. The record is from RNAcentral.